This is a small nucleolar RNA of Macaca fascicularis (crab-eating macaque), 104 nucleotides long. NCBI's taxonomy places the organism in Eukaryota, Metazoa, Chordata, Mammalia, Primates, Cercopithecidae. The record is from Ensembl.
AUCCUUUUGUGGAUCAUAAUCAUGAUGAUUGAGUUUUCACAGUAAUAUAUGAGAUGUGCUUCCUUCAAACCUUGUGAUGAUAUCGGCACAUUAUCCAUCUUACA